Long non-coding RNA from Trichechus manatus latirostris (Florida manatee), 147 nucleotides. RefSeq lists it as uncharacterized. Lineage: Eukaryota; Metazoa; Chordata; Mammalia; Sirenia; Trichechidae. The record is from RefSeq and is a predicted model, not a curated record. The transcript is spliced from 2 exons.
UGGCUGCAACAAUGGGCUCAAGCAUAACAACAAUUGUGAGGAUGGCGCAGGACCAGAGCCACAGGCUUCUCUCCCUUUUGUGUUCACUUCCUGUCAAGUUUACCAUUUCAAAAGAACACCAAAGAAGCUUAAAAAUUUGUUUGUAAG